AGCCGACCUGAGAGGGUGAUCGGCCACACUGGAACUGAGACACGGUCCAGACUCCUACGGGAGGCAGCAGUAGGGAAUCUUCCGCAAUGGGCGAAAGCCUGACGGAGCAACGCCGCGUGAGUGAUGAAGGUCUUCGGAUCGUAAAGCUCUGUUGUUAGGGAAGAACAAAUGUGUAAGUAACUGUGCACAUCUUGACGGUACCUAACCAGAAAGCCACGGCUAACUACGUGCCAGCAGCCGCGGUAAUACGUAGGUGGCAAGCGUUAUCCGGAAUUAUUGGGCGUAAAGCGCGCGUAGGCGGUUUUUUAAGUCUGAUGUGAAAGCCCACGGCUCAACCGUGGAGGGUCAUUGGAAACUGGAAAACUUGAGUGCAGAAGAGGAAAGUGGAAUUCCAUGUGUAGCGGUGAAAUGCGCAGAGAUAUGGAGGAACACCAGUGGCGAAGGCGGCUUUCUGGUCUGCAACUGACGCUGAUGUGCGAAAGCGUGGGGAUCAAACAGGAUUAGAUACCCUGGUAGUCCACGCCGUAAACGAUGAGUGCUAAGUGUUAGGGGGUUUCCGCCCCUUAGUGCUGCAGCUAACGCAUUAAGCACUCCGCCUGGGGAGUACGGUCGCAAGACUGAAACUCAAAGGAAUUGACGGGGACCCGCACAAGCGGUGGAGCAUGUGGUUUAAUUCGAAGCAACGCGAAGAACCUUACCAAAUCUUGACAUCCUUUGACCGCUCUAGAGAUAGAGUUUUCCUCUUCGGAGGACAAAGUGACAGGUGGUGCAUGGUUGUCGUCAGCUCGUGUCGUGAGAUGUUGGGUUAAGUCCCGCAACGAGCGCAACCCUUGAACUUAGUUGCCAUCAUUCAGUUGGGCACUCUAAGUUGACUGCCGGUGACAAACCGGAGGAAGGUGGGGAUGACGUCAAAUCAUCAUGCCCCUUAUGAUUUGGGCUACACACGUGCUACAAUGGACAAUACAAAGGGCAGCGAAACCGCGAGGUCAAGCAAAUCCCAUAAAGUUGUUCUCAGUUCGGAUUGUAGUCUGCAACUCGACUACAUGAAGCUGGAAUCGCUAGUAAUCGUAGAUCAGCAUGCUACGGUGAAUACGUUCCCGGGUCUUGUACACACCGCCCGUCACACCACGAGAGUUUGUAACACCCGAAGCCGGUGGAGUAACCAUUUUGGAGCUAGCCGUCGAAGGUGGGACAAAUGAUUGGGGUGAAGUCGUAACAAGGUAGCCGUAUCGGAAGGUGCGGCUGGAUCACCUCCUUU
This 1258-nucleotide ribosomal RNA is filed under the name Staphylococcus pseudintermedius. Its description in RNAcentral is "bacterial SSU rRNA". It matches the Rfam family "Bacterial small subunit ribosomal RNA", at positions 285 to 1533 of the family's 1533-position model. Lineage: Bacteria; Bacillati; Bacillota; Bacilli; Caryophanales; Staphylococcaceae. The record is from RNAcentral.